RNAcentral lists this long non-coding RNA (403 nucleotides) under Lathyrus oleraceus (garden pea). RNAcentral describes it as "Pisum sativum (pea) long non-coding RNA (PSAT_LNC034406)". The record is from RNAcentral. Lineage: Eukaryota; Viridiplantae; Streptophyta; Magnoliopsida; Fabales; Fabaceae.
AAUGUAUUUGAUGUUGAUCAAGCACCUUUGAUUUUAGUAUUUUUGAAAUGUUAAUUUUAAUAGUGGAUUUGUCUUUUUAGAUUAACAAUUAUGCAUCAACUAAAAAUAUAAUAAAAUAAAAUAAAAAAUAAAACAAUAAAAAAAAAAGUAAAAGAAAUAAUAAAAAUGAGGGGACAUACUAUCAACACAAGAGGUAAAAGAAUUAAAAAAGUUAAAGGAAAUAAAAUAAAGAACAAAAAUAAAUAGAUAAAGCAAUGAUAAUAAAGUAAUAAUAAAAAAAUACAAAAGAUAAAAAUCAGACUGAAAAUUGGGGAUGUAGAUAGAAAAAUGCUCUAAGCGCAAAGGAGAAGGGCCCAUAGAAGUGUGUUAAGCAAUCAAGGGGUGUGAGGAGACUUCAUCUUCC